GGCCACGUGGCGUAAUGGCAACGCGUCUCCUUCCUAAGGUGAAGAUUGCAGGUUCGAUCCCUGCCGUGGUCA
This is a transfer RNA of Exidia glandulosa HHB12029, 72 nucleotides long. It matches the Rfam family "tRNA". From Rfam's summary of the family: Transfer RNA (tRNA) molecules are approximately 80 nucleotides in length. Their secondary structure includes four short double-helical elements and three loops (D, anti-codon, and T loops). Further hydrogen bonds mediate the characteristic L-shaped molecular structure. tRNAs have two regions of fundamental functional importance: the anti-codon, which is responsible for specific mRNA codon recognition, and the 3' end, to which the tRNAs corresponding amino acid is attached (by aminoacyl-tRNA synthetases). tRNAs cope with the degeneracy of the genetic code in two manners: having more than one tRNA (with a specific anti-codon) for a particular amino acid; and 'wobble' base-pairing, i.e. permitting non-standard base-pairing at the 3rd anti-codon position. NCBI's taxonomy places the organism in Eukaryota, Fungi, Basidiomycota, Agaricomycetes, Auriculariales, Exidiaceae. The record is from Rfam.